GAAAUGCGAUAAGUAGUGUGAAUUGCAGAAUUCAGUGAAUCAUCGAAUCUUUGAACGCACAUUGCGCCCCUUGGUAUUCCAUGGGGCAUGCCUGUUCGAGCGUCAUUUGUACCCUCAAGCUUUGCUUGGUGUUGGGUGUUUGUCCUGUCUGCUUUUGCACUUAGGACUUGCCUUAAAACAAUUGGCAGCUGGCAUAUUGGCCUGAAGCGCAGCACAAUUUGCGCCUUCUGCCAUGGUUGUUGGCGGCCAUCAAGAUAUUUUCUAAGCUCUUGACCUCGGAUCAGGUAGGGAUACCCGCUGAACUUAA
This 307-nucleotide unclassified non-coding RNA is filed under the name uncultured Dothideomycetes. Its description in RNAcentral is "sequence contains ITS1". The stretch from base 1 to 105 matches the Rfam family "5.8S ribosomal RNA", at positions 50 to 154 of the family's 154-position model. The record is from RNAcentral. Lineage: Eukaryota; Fungi; Ascomycota; Dothideomycetes.